GCCCUGGUAGCUCAAUUGGUUAGAGCGUCGGACUUUUAUGUUCGUUCUUAAUUGCACAUCCGAAGGCUGCGGGUUCGACCCCCGCCUGGGGCG
RNAcentral lists this transfer RNA (93 nucleotides) under Xylariaceae sp. FL1651. RNAcentral describes it as "tRNA-Lys". It matches the Rfam family "tRNA". Rfam says of the family: Transfer RNA (tRNA) molecules are approximately 80 nucleotides in length. Their secondary structure includes four short double-helical elements and three loops (D, anti-codon, and T loops). The record is from RNAcentral. Lineage: Eukaryota; Fungi; Ascomycota; Sordariomycetes; Xylariales; Xylariaceae.